CUGAGCAGGCAACAUYUCUACUGUGCUAGGAUUUACUGUUAAAAGUAAUACCAGCAGCCUAGACGAGGCUCACAGAUCAGAUGGAGAUGGCCCUAAUGGGUUGAGAGUUGAUCGGGGGGUUGCUAUAAGUAGCAGCUAUACUUUCCGCUGCGGAAGGAUCAUUACCGAGAAAAUGCCCUUUAGGGUAUAUCUCCCACCCUUUGUUUACAAUACUAUUGUUGCUUUGGCAGGCCCGUCUUUGGACCGCUGGCUACUGCUGGUCAGUGCCUGCCAGAGGACCCUAAAACUCUUCUGUAAUUUGUCGUCCGAGUAUCAUAUAAUAAGUUAAAACUUUCAACAACGGAUCUCUUGGUUCUGGCAUCGAUGAAGAACGCAGCGAAAUGCGAUAAGUAAUGUGAAUUGCAGAAUUCAGUGAAUCAUCGAAUCUUUGAACGCACAUUGCACCUUCUGGUAUUCUGGGAGGUAUGCCUGUUCGAGCGUCAUUGCGACCAACAAGCCUAGGCUUGGUAUUGGAUGUCACCUAGCUGGUGCAUCUUAAAGUUAGUGGCGGUGCCAUUCAGCUUCGAGCGUAGUAAUUUUCUCGCUUCUGGAGUUUGGGUGUCGUACUAGCUAGAACCCCUAAAUUAUUAAGGUUUGACCUCGGAUCAGGUAGGGAUACCCGCUGAACUUAA
This 671-nucleotide ribosomal RNA is filed under the name uncultured fungus. Its description in RNAcentral is "eukaryotic LSU rRNA". The stretch from base 329 to 482 matches the Rfam family "5.8S ribosomal RNA". The record is from RNAcentral. Lineage: Eukaryota; Fungi.